RNAcentral lists this ribosomal RNA (536 nucleotides) under Microdochium nivale. RNAcentral's name for it is "SSU rRNA". It matches the Rfam family "Bacterial small subunit ribosomal RNA", at positions 374 to 940 of the family's 1533-position model. The record is from RNAcentral. Lineage: Eukaryota; Fungi; Ascomycota; Sordariomycetes; Xylariales; Microdochiaceae.
GCCUAACGGCUGAACUGGCAACUUAGAAGAAUGUAUGUAAUACCCUUGUGGUUAUAUAAAUUGAUUAUUCAAAUGAAAUUCUACCUGUAUAAUUGAUAAUGACGAUAUACAUAUUUAGCCUUGACUAAUUACGUGCCAGCAGUCGCGGUAAUACGUAAGAGGCUAGUGUUAAUCAUCUUAAUUAGGUUUAAAGGGUACUCAGGCGGUAAAAAUUUUCUUUAAAAAAAGUAGAAUUAUACUAGAGUUAUAGGUAAGAAGGUAGUACACGAGGUGUAGAGAUAAUAUUUUUUGAUACCUUGGAGACUGGUAAAUGCGAAGGCAACCUUUUAUGUAAUAACUGACGCUAAAGGACGAAGGCAUAGAGAACUAACAGGAUUAGAUACCCUAGUAGUCUUUGCAGACAAUGAUGAAUGUCAUAGGUAAAAUUCCAUAGAGUUUAUCCUAUAAAUGAAAAUGUAAGCAUUCCACCUCAAGAGUAAAGUGGCAACGCAGGAACUGAAAUCACUAGGCCGUUUCUAACCCCAGCAAUGAAGUAU